GACGAACGCUGGCGGCGUGCUUAACACAUGCAAGUCGAACGGAAAGGCCCUGCUUUCGCGUGGUGCUCGAGUGGCGAACGGGUGAGUAACCCAUGAGUAUCCUGCCCUUGACUUUGGGAUAACUUCAGGCAACUGCGGCUAAUACCGGCUAGGUGCUCCUGCUGCAGGGUGGUGGUUGGAACGUUUCGGCGGAUGGGGAUGGACUCGCGGCUUAUGAGCUUGUUGGUGGGGGAGCGGCUUACCGAGGCUUUGACGGGUAGGCGGCAUGAGAGGGUGAACGGGGACAUGGGGACUAAGAGACGGCGCAGUGGGCUACGGGAGGCAGCGGUGGGGAGUAUUGCACAGUGGGCGGGAGUGUGAUGAGGAGACGCUGGGUUUGGGAUGAAGGCCUUCGGGUUGGAAACCGCUGUCGGUUGAGACGAAGCGGGAGUGACGUUAAUGGGUGAAGAAGCACCGGCUAACUACGUG
RNAcentral lists this ribosomal RNA (468 nucleotides) under uncultured bacterium. RNAcentral describes it as "partial 16S ribosomal RNA". It matches the Rfam family "Bacterial small subunit ribosomal RNA", at positions 28 to 507 of the family's 1533-position model. The record is from RNAcentral.